CGAGAAAUCGCAACGAAGACAAAAUUAUGUUAUUUUUUAAUUGUUUUGACGAUGCAAAAGCUUACAUAAAAAGAAAUGAAAUUGAUACGAAUAACCGUUACAUGAUGGGUUACAGCACAAAAAACUUUGGUAAUUCAGUUGUUACUUCAUCCUCCCAUAAGGUUUGUUGGGUCCAUGGGGUGAACCCUUACAUGUAUGUGAGCCUAGGACAUCAGGUUCUGAAAUGCCAACAUGGUACAGACAAGAACAAGAAGAAAAAACUGGAAAAGGAGAAGACAAUGACAGUUAGCAGUGAGCAACACUCAUAUGCUAAAAAGAAAACAAGGCAUGCAGUGCAGCC
Long non-coding RNA from Dreissena polymorpha, 340 nucleotides. RefSeq lists it as uncharacterized. NCBI's taxonomy places the organism in Eukaryota, Metazoa, Mollusca, Bivalvia, Myida, Dreissenidae. The record is from RefSeq and is a predicted model, not a curated record. The transcript is spliced from 3 exons.